UACGUAGGGGGCAAGCGUUGUCCGGAAUUAUUGGGCGUAAAGAGCGCGUAGGCGGUCCGAUAAGUCGGCUGUGAAAGUCAGGGGCUCAACCCUUGGAAGCCGGCCGAUACUGUCGGACUAGAGUCCGGAAGAGGCGAGUGGAAUUCCCGGUGUAGCGGUGAAAUGCGCAGAUAUCGGGAGGAACACCAAUGGCGAAGGCAGCUCGCUGGGACGGUACUGACGCUGAGGCGCGAAAGCGUGGGGAGCAACAG
Molecule: ribosomal RNA, 251 nt
Filed under: uncultured bacterium
Lineage: Bacteria
Description: partial 16S ribosomal RNA
Rfam family: Bacterial small subunit ribosomal RNA
Source: RNAcentral